RNAcentral lists this unclassified non-coding RNA (537 nucleotides) under Hevea brasiliensis (rubber tree). The record is from RNAcentral. Lineage: Eukaryota; Viridiplantae; Streptophyta; Magnoliopsida; Malpighiales; Euphorbiaceae.
ACCACCCAAAGCUCUUCCUCCUCUCAUUUUUCUCAAAAUAUGCACUCCUCUUUUUUCUUCUUGGGAUAGAAAAGAGCAAUCAAUCAUUGAUGUCCUUGAAAGAAAAUAUAAUUACAAAAGACAAAAAAUAAAGAACUUUAUUUCAACUUUGAUUUGAGGGCUUUUUUAUUAGAGGUUGAGAUGUCUUUCCCCAUUCUUCCGGUGGGCUCUUCACCUCCAUUAACAAUGCCACUACUUCCUUCAUGGUGGGCCGCUCUGCUGGUGAGGAGUUGACGCAAAACAUUGCAAUUCCUAGUGUUUGAAGCAUUUCUUGAACCAUCUGAUCUGGUAAACCUUGAAGCUUUGCAUCUAGUAUUGAAGUAGCUGGUUCAAAACUCGCCAUCUUUCUCUUCACCCACUCAACUAUGUGUAGCCCAUCUCCAACUUCAGAUUCCACAGCACUGCGACCACUUAGAAUCUCUAGCAACACCACUCCAUAACUAUAAACAUCACUCUUUUCUGUUAUGUUCAUGCUGUAUCCAUACUCUGGGGCAAUAU